RNAcentral lists this long non-coding RNA (206 nucleotides) under Carica papaya (papaya). RNAcentral's name for it is "long non-coding RNA (CPAP_LNC014087)". The record is from RNAcentral. Lineage: Eukaryota; Viridiplantae; Streptophyta; Magnoliopsida; Brassicales; Caricaceae.
AAACAAUCCUAGGGCCCUCGAUGGGCCAAAAAAUUGCAUCGAACAGGAACCGAAAAGGGCCUCAUCACAGGCAAAAAUCGAGGGAAGCCGCGGCGGCGCCGCUGGACUUCGGCAUUGUUUUCCGGCCGAUUGGCCGGUCGUUUAGCUCCGAUUUGGCCAUAGGCGGAUUCAGCAUCAAAAAAUCCUCCUGUGCGGCGGCGGGUGGC